This 725-nucleotide ribosomal RNA is filed under the name Staphylococcus aureus. RNAcentral describes it as "partial 23S ribosomal RNA". It matches the Rfam family "Bacterial large subunit ribosomal RNA", at positions 323 to 1050 of the family's 2925-position model. The record is from RNAcentral. Lineage: Bacteria; Bacillati; Bacillota; Bacilli; Caryophanales; Staphylococcaceae.
ACGACAUUAGACGAAUCAUCUGGAAAGAUGAAUCAAAGAAGGUAAUAAUCCUGUAGUCGAAAAUGUUGUCUCUCUUGAGUGGAUCCUGAGUACGACGGAGCACGUGAAAUUCCGUCGGAAUCUGGGAGGACCAUCUCCUAAGGCUAAAUACUCUCUAGUGACCGAUAGUGAACCAGUACCGUGAGGGAAAGGUGAAAAGCACCCCGGAAGGGGAGUGAAAUAGAACCUGAAACCGUGUGCUUACAAGUAGUCAGAGCCCGUUAAUGGGUGAUGGCGUGCCUUUUGUAGAAUGAACCGGCGAGUUACGAUUUGAUGCAAGGUUAAGCAGUAAAUGUGGAGCCGUAGCGAAAGCGAGUCUGAAUAGGGCGUUUAGUAUUUGGUCGUAGACCCGAAACCAGGUGAUCUACCCUUGGUCAGGUUGAAGUUCAGGUAACACUGAAUGGAGGACCGAACCGACUUACGUUGAAAAGUGAGCGGAUGAACUGAGGGUAGCGGAGAAAUUCCAAUCGAACCUGGAGAUAGCUGGUUCUCUCCGAAAUAGCUUUAGGGCUAGCCUCAAGUGAUGAUUAUUGGAGGUAGAGCACUGUUUGGACGAGGGGCCCCUCUCGGGUUACCGAAUUCAGACAAACUCCGAAUGCCAAUUAAUUUAACUUGGGAGUCAGAACAUGGGUGAUAAGGUCCGUGUUCGAAAGGGAAACAGCCCAGACCACCAGCUAAGGUCCCAA